GGUCGAGAGCAGUGACACCAUCGACAACGUUAAAGCUGAGAUUCAGGUACUUUUAUUUUCCUUUUUUCUUGUAUAUAUGGCCUUUUGGGUGUGUUUGUUUUUGAUGGAGAACUGUCUUUUCAAGAAUGUUUCUGGGGAUACCUUUUAUUAGCCUUUUUGGGUUUGUGUAUAUAAUUUUUUUUUUAAAGGAGUUUGUGUAUAUAAUUUUUGUUGCCAGAAGAAAAAUAUAGGGUACGGGGGUGGUUUGAUCAUCGAUUAAUUGUGUUGUUAUUGCAAUUAUCAUAGUAGAAAUUGCGUGUGGCGGAGAACUUGUCAACCUAACAAAAUUGAAUGUUAGCACUCACUAGCGUCAAAAUUCCAUACUCUAUUCUCUCGAACUUUGGCUGCCUAGUUGAAAUUUUGGCCGAUUUAAGCAGGCUGGGAGCAGUUUAAUGAUAGUUUCUUUUCGGAUGUUGUUUUGAGAAUUGAUUUACCUUUUCUUUUUUGGGGAGGGUGGCCUGUGUCUUGUGCUUUUGAGUAUUGAGUAUGGUUGUGUCCUUUCAAGAUAAGGAAGGCGGACCAGCAGAGAUUUAUUUUUGCUGGUAAACAAUUGGAA
Molecule: unclassified non-coding RNA, 595 nt
Filed under: Hevea brasiliensis (rubber tree)
Lineage: Eukaryota; Viridiplantae; Streptophyta; Magnoliopsida; Malpighiales; Euphorbiaceae
Source: RNAcentral